Molecule: transfer RNA, 71 nt
Filed under: Loxodonta africana (African savanna elephant)
Lineage: Eukaryota; Metazoa; Chordata; Mammalia; Proboscidea; Elephantidae
Rfam family: tRNA
About the family: Transfer RNA (tRNA) molecules are approximately 80 nucleotides in length. Their secondary structure includes four short double-helical elements and three loops (D, anti-codon, and T loops). Further hydrogen bonds mediate the characteristic L-shaped molecular structure. tRNAs have two regions of fundamental functional importance: the anti-codon, which is responsible for specific mRNA codon recognition, and the 3' end, to which the tRNAs corresponding amino acid is attached (by aminoacyl-tRNA synthetases). tRNAs cope with the degeneracy of the genetic code in two manners: having more than one tRNA (with a specific anti-codon) for a particular amino acid; and 'wobble' base-pairing, i.e. permitting non-standard base-pairing at the 3rd anti-codon position.
Source: Rfam by way of RNAcentral
GCACUGGUGGUUCAGUGGCAGAAUUUUCACUUCCCAUGCAGGAGAACCAGGUUCAAUUCCUGACCAAUGCA